RNAcentral lists this long non-coding RNA (1410 nucleotides) under Mytilus galloprovincialis (Mediterranean mussel). The record is from RNAcentral. Lineage: Eukaryota; Metazoa; Mollusca; Bivalvia; Mytilida; Mytilidae.
AUUGAAGAAACAUUGACUGAAGUAGCAGAAAAUUUUAAGAAAAUCAGUCAACAUCAGCAAAAGAAUCUGUUGAAUUUGAAAGAAAAAAGAAAACAAAUUGAAAAAGAAAUUCAAAAGACCCGUACAACAAUCAACAACCAUCUGGACAAAUUACAAGGAGAUUUGAUAAAACAACUUAAUUCUAUUGAAGAAACCCAGAACUCGAAAAUUUGUCAGUUGUUGUCAUCGCUUGAACAGAGAGAAAAAGAAAUAACCAAAUACCAGCAAAACCUUGUAAGCAUUAAACAACACGCCUCAGACCUUCAGAUUUUUCUUUCACUUAAGCAAAUCGAACAAGACAUUAAUAUAAAUGAUAAAUUCCUACAAUCCGUAGUGGAAGGUGAGGAAUUGAAGCAAUGUCAUCUAGAAUAUAGAACCAACAUUGCUAUUCAAGAUAUCAUGUCCAAUAUCAAACGUUUUGGAGAAGUACAGAUUGAAACUAAACCAUAUGAAAUCGUUCUCAGCAGAAAGAAGACUACACAAGCACAGAUAAUGAUACCAAACGUUCAAACAAGAUCCAUUGAGAAUAUAAAGCUGGAGAUGCACAAAACAGCAAUAGAAACUAAUGGAAGAUGCGUCUACGGGUGUUGCCUGAUAUCAGAUGGUAGAAUGGCUUUUACUUACUACCAUGAUUGUGCAGUUAGAGUUUUCAGUGAUAAAGGAUUAAAAGACUUUGAGGUGAAGAUGCCGUGUAAAGUAGCCGAUAUACUGUAUAUUAGUAAGGACAAUACAUUAGUCGUAACAUCUGGUGGUUCACGUCAGCAUUGUAUUUUUAUUAUAAACGUGGAAAAAAACAAAUCACAAGAACAAUUUCACUAGAUUCGGAAAUUGCUGGUAUAGCACUUAGAGAAAAUGAAUUAAUAUAUUCGGGUCAUUGUAAAGGAAUACGAAUGAUUAAUCUUUUAGACGAGUCAAUUACUCAAAUAGUCAAGGUGAAAUGCCAGAUUGUUGUUACAUUGCAACAUUUCGGAACCAAAUAUAUCACACAACCUCGGUAACACAUACCGUUACUUGUUACGAUCAACAAGGUAAACCGCAAUGGACAUUCAAAAAUAAAAGCGUUCUGAAGUAUCCUCGUGGUAUUGAUGUAGAUAUGGAUGGUAAUGUGUAUGUGGUGGGGUUCAGGUCGAACAAUGUUGUAGUUGUCUCCCCUGACGGACAACACCAUCGAGAAGUAUUGACAGCAAGUAAUGGUCUAAUUUAUCCUAAUUCACUUUGUUAUGAUAAUACAAAAAAGAAGUUGCUGGUUGCUAACUAUUAUAAUGAGGCCCGACUGUAUGAUUUUAUUUGAAAAGUCUUUUUAAUUAUGUUUUAUCCUUAUUUUUAAUUCUGAUCGUCACAGCUAAACAGUUUUCGAUGUAUUGAUUUGUU